RNAcentral lists this long non-coding RNA (3646 nucleotides) under Solanum tuberosum (potato). RNAcentral's name for it is "long non-coding RNA (STUB_LNC001908)". The record is from RNAcentral. Lineage: Eukaryota; Viridiplantae; Streptophyta; Magnoliopsida; Solanales; Solanaceae.
AUGGCGGCUUCAAGAAAUCUAAGCUAGGUAACUUUUUUUGCUUUACUGUUUGCUGCAUUUCAUCCUCCAUUUCUAAUCUUUGUUUAGUUGCCUCUUAUAGGCUUCAUUAUUUGUUAUCUAUAUGUGCUGUCAAAUCUAGGGUUUUGCUAAUUUUUCUUCUCCUGGUUUUUUGAAUUUAAUGAUGUACAUGUCACUCUUUAUUGGCGUUGUCUAUUUAUUGUUUUCUAGUGGCCUUUAUUUUGGUUUAUUCUGUAUUUUGUUCCGUGAAGCAAGGUUAUAAUGCUUAUGAUUUUCAUUGGUUUUUCCUUUUGUUUUCAUUGUUGUCAUGUGUUCAUCAUAUUUCUUUUUUACCAAAAUGCAUAAUGGUGUAUAUUAAUAGAGCUUUUUUCAGCUUUGUAUAUUUUGUUGUCAGUUGUGGUGGAUGACAAUAUCUACGUAGUGGUUGUAAAUAUAGUUUGAUAGAUAGAAUGCCACACCAAAGUGCAAAGUUUGAAUAGUUAAAUGAAUUUAGAAUUCGGAAGUUCUAAAUAUGAGUGAGUUUCUUAUAAAGUAUGAUACUUAAAAACUACAAAGUCAAAUUUGAAACCGAUGUAGUAAAAUAUUUUUUCAUGAUUGAGCUGACAAAAUUUUGUUUUCAUGUAAGAAAGAGAGGACAACAAAUUUGCUGUAGUUACUGGUCCUUUUUUUUUUUUCCUCCAGAAGGCUUUGUCGUGCUUUCUACAGUAUUUUGUCAUGAUUUCUUCACUUCUGUUGUUCUUUUUUUCGAUCUGCUUUGAUAUACUGUUUACUGUUUGUUGAGCCGGGGGUCUAUUGAAAACAACCUCUCUAACUUGCAAGGUAGGGGUAAGGUUUGCGUACUCUCUACCCUCCCCAAACGCAUUACACUGGGUAUGUUGUUGUUGAGCACUUCCUUUUUUUUUAAAAAAUAAGCACUUUUGACUUUUCAGAAGCUUGGCCAAACAGGCUAUAACCAUGCACGGACCUUUUUGUUUAUUUUUUGUUUUAAAUAUAAAGAUCUAAGUGCUAGACUUCAUUGAUUUCAUAGAUACAUAGGGUGUAUAGUCCACACUCCACAGAUGCUUUUUGUAACUAGCGAUACCAACUUGGUAUUGAAACUGUUUACAAUAAUUGCUUACUUAUUAAAAGAUUGUUUGAGUUCAGCUUUAUAUGGUUUCAUUCCUCAUCCUCCAUUCCUUAUAAGUGUGGGGGUGGCGCUCUAUGGUGCUGAUUCUGAACAUAGUUUUGUAGAAAGAGAUAAUCAUGACUAUCAUAAAAAUACUUUGUCCCAUUUUAUAUGGCGUUAUUUGAUUGAAUGCUGCUUUUGAAACUUUAUGACUUAUAUGUAAAUAUUAGUGAUUGUGGAGCAAAAUGUUUACAAUAGUGGUUCACAAGUUAGUUUGAUUGAGAAAUGUUACAUCAAAGUUCAAUUUUUUUUAUUGUUGUAAUGAAUUUCCACUUUUGAAAGAUGUUUAGAAAAGGAAUGUCGCCAAACAUUCUGGAGUAUAUUAGUUUUGAUAUUUAUCUAACAAAACUAAUAGUAUCAAGGAAAAACAAGAUCAUGAUAACAAUAAAUGUAAAUAAAGUGAUUGCUUCUUGAGCUGUGGAUGGAGUUACUCUUUUUGUAGGAUUUUGGAAGAUUUGAGCCUAAAUAUGCUAAAAAGUUGCAUUUCUGGCAGAUUUUAACUCCUGAAUUUAGUUUUACUUCAUGUACCAUUGCACUUAUCAUUUCAAAUAUAAUUAUCUGCUUCUGUAAUUGCUUAAGCACAAGUUCUGGCUUCCAUAAAAUUAAAGUACUUUUUAUUUGCAUAAUAGCCGAGGCACAAGUUUUGUACUUUGUCUCGUUUAGGUAAAUUUUGCUCAGGUUCCGCUUCUAGCUUGUUUUUCUGAUCAACUGUUUAGCUUUGUAUAUACAGCUCUGAGCUACUGGACUGAUGGCAGGUUUUCACUAAGCGGGGCAGGGAAGUCAAGUAUCAGACUAAUAAAUACCUUUAGUGCUUAUUUACUUACUUUUAAGUGUGGGAUCUUAGUCAGUCUUUUCUGCAUCUGUUGUCCAUCACUUAACUGUCCCCAUCUUCCAGGUGAGAAUUUUGGUCAUACUCCAGGCUGGUCUCAUUUCUUUGUUUUUCCAUACAUUUAAAAGUAUUACACAUAGACUCGGGUCUAUCUGGAACAGCCUCUCUUCCUUCAAGGGGGUUAGGUCUGCAUACACUCUACCCUACAGACCCCACUCACUGGUAUUACACAGGGUUUGUUGUUGUUGUUGUUAUUGUAUGUAGAAGUAAGACGCACACUCUCUACAUAAACUUCUUUAGGCCAGAGGUCUAUGAUGCAAGACUAUGGUACCAUAUGCAACUAUGCUCAGAUUAGCUAUACAUGAAAUCCAUAUCCUGAGUUUACUUUUUUGCUUUCUUAUAAAUAAAAAAAAAAGAAUACAUAUCAUGGGUUUAAUUUUCUGCCUUGUGAUUACUCUUCCGAGUUCUGGUUUUUCUAUGUUGCUUGUGAUCCAUUAGGUUUGCCAUUAUAGUUCUGUUAGUUGUUUGCCCACUCCUUAUAUUGGGGUUCUAGUAGCUGCCGCUUGAAGUUAAACCGUUUUUGGGAAGUAGUCAGGGUGAAGAGUCCAUAAUUGUAACUCUUUUAGUUUGAAAAUUGAGGAUGUUGCUCUGACAUAUUUGCUCAAGGGCCAGCAUGUUUUGUAAUGAUUUUAAUUAAAAAGGUUUUUAGGAUGUAGUCUUUGUACAGCUUCUUCUUUAGGAUGUAGACUGGAUUUAGGUACGCAACAAUCGUUCGAAACAUCUGCUACCAAGUCAAUGGGUUGGUCAAUGACUGUGUGCUCUUUGCUGAAUUAACGACUGAUUUUGGAACCAAACCAGGUAACUUUAGAGGUGAUGGCGAUGGUAGAUUCUGAAGAAUCAAUGGCUCUACUGGUGACCUGUUGAAAAGAAGAAGGCUGCUUUGACUUUGAUUAGCCAACGAGUGCUGGGAUACUGUGCUCCUGUUCAUUUGUUGGUGAUAUUUGUACAUAUGGUAUAGCUGUUAUAAUAGCAUGGUUUCUACUUUGUUAAGUCGUAUAGUUCAGUUCUGUCAUAGAGAGGUAAUUCUAUCUCUAAACUAUCUUACAGAAUCCUACUGCUGAGGUUUGCAAGGGCUUGGGUUGAGCUGGGGUAGUUUCCAGAAUACCAGACAAUUAUGCAAGGGUUGCUUCCAACUCUAUUGAAGUCGAGCUACUUGUCAUUGUUACUCUAUCAAUUGUAUCGUCUAAAGUCUAAACCAUGGUUGGUAAUCAUCUACAUCAUUAGGAAAGUUUAGUAUUUGAUUGAGAUAGCGGUGCAUGAGUUGGAUUUUCUUUGAAAUUUUGUACUGUGCGAAGGAACAACACUUCGAAGGAAAACAAACAGCUGGGCAUUAUGGUCAUAAGUGCAAAACGAGUUUUUUUUCUUUUUUCUUUUAGUGUUUUUUUGGAAACAGCCUCGUAGUGGUAAGGUAUAUAUAUACUUUACCCUCCCUAAACCCUACUUUGUGGAAUUUCAUCGGGUAGAUUGAUGUUGUAUUUUACUUUCUAUAUAGACAGUGUUUAGUGUGACACAGAAUGUCUUUCAGAAGAAACUUGCAGAUGACAUGUUAGAGAGUCCGGCACCAAAAUGGACGC